UGCCGGCGACCGGCGACGGGUGCGUAACGCGUAUGUAACCUACCUUUGACAGGGGGAUAACAUCGAGAAAUUGGUACUAAUACCCCAUAACAUCACCGGAGGCAUCUUCGGUGGUUGAAAACUCAGGUGGUCAGAGAUGGACAUGCGUUGUAUUAGCUAGUUGGUGAGGUAACGGCUCACCAAGGCGACGAUACAUAGGGGGACUGAGAGGUCCAACCCCCCACAUUGGUACUGAGACACGGACCAAACUCCUACGGAAGGCAGCAG
RNAcentral lists this ribosomal RNA (267 nucleotides) under uncultured bacterium. Its description in RNAcentral is "partial 16S ribosomal RNA". It matches the Rfam family "Bacterial small subunit ribosomal RNA", at positions 86 to 354 of the family's 1533-position model. The record is from RNAcentral.